AGAGUUUGAUCCUGGCUCAGAGCGAACGCUGGCGGCAGGCUUAACACAUGCAAGUCGAACGGGCGUAGCAAUACGUCAGUGGCAGACGGGUGAGUAACGCGUGGGAACGUACCUUUUGGUUCGGAACAACCCAGGGAAACUUGGGCUAAUACCGGAUAAGCCCUUACGGGGAAAGAUUUAUCGCCGAAAGAUCGGCCCGCGUCUGAUUAGCUAGUUGGUGUGGUAACGGCGCACCAAGGCGACGAUCAGUAGCUGGUCUGAGAGGAUGAUCAGCCACAUUGGGACUGAGACACGGCCCAAACUCCUACGGGAGGCAGCAGUGGGGAAUAUUGGACAAUGGGCGCAAGCCUGAUCCAGCCAUGCCGCGUGAGUGAUGAAGGCCCUAGGGUUGUAAAGCUCUUUUGUGCGGGAAGAUAAUGACGGUACCGCAAGAAUAAGCCCCGGCUAACUUCGUGCCAGCAGCCGCGGUAAUACGAAGGGGGCUAGCGUUGCUCGGAAUCACUGGGCGUAAAGGGUGCGUAGGCGGGUCUUUAAGUCAGGGGUGAAAUCCUGGAGCUCAACUCCAGAACUGCCUUUGAUACUGAGGAUCUUGAGUUCGGGAGAGGUGAGUGGAACUGCGAGUGUAGAGGUGAAAUUCGUAGAUAUUCGCAAGAACACCAGUGGCGAAGGCGGCUCACUGGCCCGAUACUGACGCUGAGGCACGAAAGCGUGGGGAGCAAACAGGAUUAGAUACCCUAGUAGUCC
RNAcentral lists this ribosomal RNA (744 nucleotides) under uncultured bacterium. RNAcentral's name for it is "bacterial SSU rRNA". It matches the Rfam family "Bacterial small subunit ribosomal RNA", at positions 8 to 796 of the family's 1533-position model. The record is from RNAcentral.